RNAcentral lists this transfer RNA (54 nucleotides) under Centrorhynchus clitorideus. RNAcentral describes it as "tRNA-Tyr". The record is from RNAcentral. Lineage: Eukaryota; Metazoa; Acanthocephala; Palaeacanthocephala; Polymorphida; Centrorhynchidae.
UGACUGGGCAGUUUUGGGGAAUAUUUUAUUGUAAAUGAAGGGGGAUGCCAGUUA